RNAcentral lists this transfer RNA (72 nucleotides) under Bos taurus (domestic cattle). It matches the Rfam family "tRNA". Rfam says of the family: Transfer RNA (tRNA) molecules are approximately 80 nucleotides in length. Their secondary structure includes four short double-helical elements and three loops (D, anti-codon, and T loops). RNAcentral also lists the same sequence under 4 other names. Lineage: Eukaryota; Metazoa; Chordata; Mammalia; Artiodactyla; Bovidae. The record is from Rfam by way of RNAcentral.
UCCUUGGUGACUGAGAUGGGAAAGUAUCUGCCUGCAAUGCAGGAGACCUGGGUUCAAUCCCUUGGUCAGGAA